GACGAACGCUGGCGGCGUGCUUAACACAUGCAAGUCGAGCGGGGAUGUUUCCUUCGGGGAACAUUCUAGCGGCGGACGGGUGAGUAACGCGUGAGCAAUCUGUCCCAGACAGGGGGAUGACACUUGGAAACAGGUGCUAAUACCGCAUAAGACCACGACACCACAUGGUGAUGGGGUAAAAGAAAUUCGGUUUGGGGUGAGCUCGCGUCCGAUUAGCUAGUUGGUGAGGUAACGGCCCACCAAGGCGACGAUCGGUAGCCGACCUGAGAGGGUGAUCGGCCACAUUGGAACUGAGACACGGUCCAA
RNAcentral lists this ribosomal RNA (306 nucleotides) under uncultured bacterium. RNAcentral's name for it is "bacterial SSU rRNA". It matches the Rfam family "Bacterial small subunit ribosomal RNA", at positions 28 to 334 of the family's 1533-position model. The record is from RNAcentral.